CAAACAAGCCGUACUUUCAAUAUUUUUAUUUCUAUUAUUAUAUAUAUUGUAGUUCUAUAUAUUAUUUUUUAUAUUAUAGUUAUAAAGUACUUUCCUUUUAAUCCAUCUAUGCAAUUAAGAUACUCUACAUAACUAAAAACAAGUUAAAUGGAAUUAAGUAUUUUAUUAAAAGGGUCACGAAGUUCCAGUAGUCAGGUCUACCAGUUGCGGCACGCCCUCCUCAUCCUGCAUCCAGAUGUAGCGACUCUCACCCUUUACGUAGUGACUAUUAUCACCGGGAACCAGAGGAAUAGCAUUGCCAGCACACACUUAAAACACCAAAAUUAUAUUAAUUUAUACGAGUACAUUUUUUAAUAAAAAGUGAGUCUAAAAUUAAAUUAAUUCAAUAAAAAUUUUUAAUACAAUAACAUACAAUUUCAA
Long non-coding RNA from Galleria mellonella (greater wax moth), 420 nucleotides. RefSeq lists it as uncharacterized. The record is from RefSeq and is a predicted model, not a curated record. The transcript has 2 exons. Lineage: Eukaryota; Metazoa; Arthropoda; Insecta; Lepidoptera; Pyralidae.